RNAcentral lists this transfer RNA (76 nucleotides) under Polaromonas sp. RNAcentral describes it as "tRNA-Met". It matches the Rfam family "tRNA". Rfam says of the family: Transfer RNA (tRNA) molecules are approximately 80 nucleotides in length. Lineage: Bacteria; Pseudomonadati; Pseudomonadota; Betaproteobacteria; Burkholderiales; Comamonadaceae. The record is from RNAcentral.
UGUAGCGUGGAGCAGUUGGUAGCUCGUCGGGCUCAUAACCCGAAGGUCGCAGGUUCAAGUCCUGCCGCUGCAACCA